RNAcentral lists this ribosomal RNA (253 nucleotides) under uncultured bacterium. RNAcentral describes it as "partial 16S ribosomal RNA". It matches the Rfam family "Bacterial small subunit ribosomal RNA", at positions 524 to 776 of the family's 1533-position model. The record is from RNAcentral.
UACAGAGGGGGCAAGCGUUAUUCGGAUUUAUUGGGCGUAAAGGGCGCGUAGGCGGCCUUGCAAGUGACGGGUGAAAUCCCUCGGCUUAACCGAGGAACUGCCUGUCAGACUGCAUGGCUUGAGACCGGGAGAGGUGAGUGGAAUUCCCAGUGUAGCGGUGAAAUGCGUAGAUAUUGGGAGGAACACCAGUGGCGAAGGCGGCUCACUGGGACGGUACUGACGCUGAGACGCGAAAGCGUGGGGAGCGAACAGG